GGGUUGGUGGAACUGGCAGUCUUGGCGUCACAGCCAGGUCUGCUGAAAAGCAGAGGCUUGAACAUGGACCCGUAAUGGGCAACAACUUGGUAGGCAUAUCGCCUCUGGCGGUGCAUCGUCUGAGUUGGUGCUUGGGACUGUGUUGGAGGCUUAACGCAGGAUUUGGUUGGCAACAACCGAAAUUCCAAUUUCGACCUGAGCCCAGGCAAGAUUACCCGCUGAACUUAAGCAUAUCAAUAAGCGGAGGAAAAGAAACUAACAAGGAUUCCCUUAGUAGCGGCGAGCGAAACGGGAAUAGCCCAACUUGAAAAUCUCCUUCGGAGAAUUGUAGUCUAUAGAAGUGCCCUCUGUAGCGGCAUGGUCCUAAGUUCCCUGGAAAGGGACGUCAGAGAGGGUGAGAACCCCGUCGGACCUCGCUUAGCUACCUCACGAGGUGCUUUCCACGAGUCGGGUUGCUUGGGAAUGCAGCCCUAAGCGGGUGGUAAAUCCCAUCUAAGGCUAAAUACUGGCGAGAGACCGAUAGCGAACAAGUACCGCGAGGGAAAGAUGAAAAGAACUUUGAAAAGAGAGUUAAGAAGUGCUUGAAAUUGUUGAGGGGGAAGCGUUUGAAAGUUAUGGGUGUGCCCAGGCUUAUGCAUCUCUAACGAGCUGCUGCAUGUGCUGGGCACUGGCCAGCUUGGGUUGGCCUUGCGGGAUAAACGCCAUGGUUGUUACAUGGUCAAUGCCGCAGGGGCGAUCAAGGCGUGAAGGGCGCUCAGUCUUUGAACUGCGUCCUCAAGAAGUUGGCGGAAGGCUUUUCAACUGACCCGUCUUGAAA
RNAcentral lists this ribosomal RNA (817 nucleotides) under uncultured Oedogoniales. RNAcentral's name for it is "eukaryotic LSU rRNA". The stretch from base 192 to 817 matches the Rfam family "Eukaryotic large subunit ribosomal RNA", at positions 1 to 659 of the family's 3401-position model. The record is from RNAcentral. Lineage: Eukaryota; Viridiplantae; Chlorophyta; Chlorophyceae; Oedogoniales.